Molecule: ribosomal RNA, 253 nt
Filed under: uncultured bacterium
Lineage: Bacteria
Description: partial 16S ribosomal RNA
Rfam family: Bacterial small subunit ribosomal RNA
Source: RNAcentral
UACGUAGGGUGCGAGCGUUACUCGGAAUUACUGGGCGUAAAGCGUGCGCAGGCGGUUAUGUAAGACAGUUGUGAAAUCCCCGGGCUCAACCUGGGAAUUGCAUCUGUGACUGCAUAGCUAGAGUACGGUAGAGGGGGAUGGAAUUCCGCGUGUAGCAGUGAAAUGCGUAGAUAUGCGGAGGAACACCGAUGGCGAAGGCAAUCCCCUGGACCUGUACUGACGCUCAUGCACGAAAGCGUGGGGAGCAAACAGG